CACGAAGUUAGCCGGGGCUUCUUCUUCCGGUACCGUCAUUAUCGUCCCGGACGAAAGAGCUUUACAACCCUAAGGCCUUCAUCACUCACGCGGCAUGGCUGGAUCAGGCUUGCACCCAUUGUCCAAUAUUCCCCACUGCUGCCUCCCGUAGGAGUCUGGGCCGUGUCUCAGUCCCAGUGUGGCUGAUCAUCCUCUCAGACCAGCUACUGAUCGUCGCCUUGGUGAGCCAUUACCUCACCAACUAGCUAAUCAGACGCGGGCCGAUCCUUCAGCGAUAAAUCUUUCCCCCGAAGGGCGUAUCCGGUAUUAGCUCAAGUUUCCCUGAGUUGUUCCGAACCGAAGGGCACGUUCCCACGUGUUACUCACCCGUCUGCCACUGACACCCGAAGGUGCCCGUUCGACUUGCAUGUGUUAAGCCUGCCGCCAGCGUUCGCUCUGAGCCAGGAUCAAACUCU
This 455-nucleotide ribosomal RNA is filed under the name uncultured Hyphomicrobiales bacterium. RNAcentral describes it as "uncultured Rhizobiales bacterium partial 16S ribosomal RNA". Lineage: Bacteria; Pseudomonadati; Pseudomonadota; Alphaproteobacteria; Hyphomicrobiales. The record is from RNAcentral.